RNAcentral lists this microRNA precursor (52 nucleotides) under Pteropus alecto (black flying fox). RNAcentral's name for it is "mir-1302 microRNA precursor family". It matches the Rfam family "mir-1302 microRNA precursor family". The record is from Rfam by way of RNAcentral. RNAcentral also lists the same sequence under 1 other name. Lineage: Eukaryota; Metazoa; Chordata; Mammalia; Chiroptera; Pteropodidae.
GUUUUAGUGUAAGUAUGCACCAUGCAAUAUUUGGGACAUAUUUAUGCUAAAA